Molecule: ribosomal RNA, 203 nt
Filed under: uncultured Latescibacterota bacterium
Lineage: Bacteria; Pseudomonadati; Candidatus Latescibacterota
Description: uncultured Latescibacteria bacterium partial 16S ribosomal RNA
Rfam family: Bacterial small subunit ribosomal RNA
Source: RNAcentral
UGACGUCAAGUCCUCAUGGCCCUUACAUCCCGGGCUACACACGUGCUACAAUGGCAGGUACAGAGGGCUGCGAAGCCGCGAGGUGGAGCGAAUCCCAGAAAACCUGUCUCAGUCCGGAUUGAAGUCUGCAACUCGACUUCAUGAAGGCGGAAUCGCUAGUAACCGCGAAUCAGCAGGUCGCGGUGAAUACGUUCCCGGGCCUU